RNAcentral lists this long non-coding RNA (874 nucleotides) under Cyanistes caeruleus (blue tit). Its description in RNAcentral is "lncRNA (ENSCCEG00000022886.1)". The record is from RNAcentral. Lineage: Eukaryota; Metazoa; Chordata; Aves; Passeriformes; Paridae.
GGCCCCGCCCCCGAGCGCGGGUGCGGGGCGAGCCUUGUGCCUGCGUUCCCUCUGGGCUCGGGGUGCGCGGCUGCUUCGUCCCUUUCCCUGGCCCGUGGGCACUGCAGUGUCCAGAGCUCCCGCGGAAACAUGGGCUUGUCACGCCUUCCUCGCCACACACCCGGGGCCUGCCAGCAAACCGUGUUUGUUGGGCACCUCAGAGACCCACGGGAGCUCGGUCGGAACCCGUGCUGUGGUGCCACCCCCGUGGUGUGGGGGUGCUACUUCUGGUGCCUUCUGAGCUAUUCCAAUGUCAGAGAUCUUAGGGAGAAGCUUGGACUUUAUGUUACCUGAUUGUUACUGAAGUGAGACUGCCUGAAGAGGAGAGCAUACUGGCAGAGCCACGUCUCACCUGAGUACUGGAAGAUGCUAGAGAGUCAUGGAGCUGGGAUGAGUUCCUUAGACUAGACAACAAACAUUACAAAUGCCAAGCCAUAUGCAAUUUCACUAUACAUAAUAUGUAAAUUGAAAAAAACAGAUGUUGCGAAACAAGCUGUCAGUACGGUAGAACCAAAUAUACAUAAGUUAUGGUUUUUGCAGCCAAUAAUCAGCCUGCUUCUGUAUAUUCAUUCCAACAAGUGUGCCAGACUUGACUUCACCUGGGAUGCCUGUGGGAGAGCUGGGGCUGACAGUUCUUCUGGAUUUGUUGGUGCCUGAAAGACAACGAUCUUCUUCUGUGGUGUCCUGCAUCAUGAAGUGGUUGUUAAAUUUUGUGUGGUGCUGUUGCUUGGCCUCACAGCUGGGAAUGAGCCAGAAGAUGCUGUUCUGGAGGUGCACUCGUGCGAGGUGGCCAAGCUGUAUGUGUCCAGCAUGGUCAGCAGCUGCUACCAGAUGA